Long non-coding RNA from Vicia villosa (hairy vetch), 3735 nucleotides. RefSeq lists it as uncharacterized. The transcript has 6 exons. NCBI's taxonomy places the organism in Eukaryota, Viridiplantae, Streptophyta, Magnoliopsida, Fabales, Fabaceae. The record is from RefSeq and is a predicted model, not a curated record.
CACAUCAGUUGCUGUCUCUAUAAUAUUUCACAUCAGCAAGCCUCAACCCUCCUUCAACCGAUCCUCUUCCUCUUUCAAAACCGUUUCCAAAUUGUUUCUCCACUUCAAUGGCGGUUAUAAAAUUGAAGCAUCAAAACCACCCUCUCACAAUCCACAAUCCAUUUUCUCUUUCUCUUUCUCACUCGGGUCUCUCCACUUCAAUGGCGGUUAUGAAAUUGAAGCAUCAAAACCACCCUCUCACAAUCCACAAUCCAUUUUCUCUUUCUCUUUCUCACUCGGGUCUCUCCACCGUCAUUGCCAAACCUAACGGCGCCUCAGAUGACUAUCUUUCGUCAUCUCUUGGCCAUUGGCAGAAUUGAGGUUGGGACUGGUUGGAACCGUCAAGGAAGAAAGACUAAGAAACCUACGACAACGACUAGAAGUCCCUUUUGAUGGUUCUAAAACAGAGCACCAAGAAGCUCUUUUACUAUUGUAGAGAUUGGCUUAUCUUGAUAGGGAGCGUCCUUCACUUAAAUCAGAUCUUUGGAAGGAAAUGGGAUGGCAAGGUUCAGACCCUUCAACAGAUUUUAGGUGUGUGAUCAAAAGCUAUAUGUUUUGCUUUAACGAGAUGGGGUAGGGGCAUGAAUAUGAAUAGGGUUUUAAUCAGCUAUAGAUUAGAUACUCAAAAUACUAUAAGACUAUUAAGUAAGGAUUCAUUGACUUAAUAAUGGGCGGUGACUUAAAAUAUUCUGAUCCUUAUUGGUUAGACACUCAAGGUUAAUCAAUCGUUUCCGUUUCCUUUAUUUAUUAUUCACUACGAUACUGUAUCAUCUCUUCGAUUUGUUCUUAUUGUAUUAUUGAUCGAUCGAUCGUUACACAUUGUUUUUAUGUAUUCUGAAUUUCGCUUAUUCUUCCUUCGAUUCAUCAAUUACAUCGUUUAAUUUGUGUUUUGGUUUAUGACUAACAAUUGUUCAAUUUCUGAUGUCAUCACUGCAGGAUCUAUCUGCUAUUUUUUUGUUAAGUUAUUUUGUUGUUUAAUUGGUUUAUUUGAUUGCUGUUGUUGUGAUUUUUUGAUGCUGAUUUGAUUGAUAAUUUGAAUGUCAUAAAUCGUCUUACUGAUGUGUUUUUGAUCAUUAUAUUGUUGAAUUUUGCGGAAUGAACGGGUAUCUGGACCUGUCAUGCUGGCAUAUGGUAUGAAUGGGGAUGCUAUGUUUUUCCAUUAUAUGCAGGAUACUGUGUUGGAGCUUGAGACUACCUGGUAUAUCUGAAACUGCUGCAAUUUUUACUGGGGUUGAUGUUACCAAGGAACCCAUUCCUGUUUUACCAACUGAGCAUUAUAAUAUGGGUGGUAUCCCCACUAAUUAUCAUGGAGAGUUUCUUCAAAGACACUUCUACAAAGACCAAUUGCAGGUUCUCAAGUACCCUUUUGUCCAAUUGACAAGAAGAUGCUUGAUUGUUGGUCACAUAUUGAGCCAGGAACUUUCAAAGUCCGGGGCAUAGCUUAUUUCAAGUACAUGAAGAAGGAGUUGGCUCCUAACUAUUCUGCAUAUUAUUUGUUUGGAGUUGAUGUUUUUCUUAUCUCCGCAAAAAAAUCGACCAUAUAGCUCGGUUUGUCGAACUUCCUGCUAUUAGUUCAUUAGCUAAAUUUCCACCCAUUCUUAUUGUUAAUGUUCAGGUACUUCUUACUUAACCUUAGUCAUACUCUUCCAUGCUGGAAAAAUAAAAUAAGAAAUUAUUUUUAUAUAGUGGAAUACUUUUGUUUUUCAAAGUGAGUCCACCAUAAAACAAAUUUCAUGCUCAAGUAAACAUGGAUUAGAAUUGGAUCAUCAAGAGUAUCAAAACCAUUUGCUAAAGUGAGUCAAGGGUAAUUAAGGAUAACCAUUCAGUGAAAACUGAAGGAUGCUGAUACUCUAUAGUAUUUAUCGUCAUAAGAAUACCUGACCAACAAUAUUGAACCUGAAAAAAAAAAGGAGUAAUCAUUCAACGCAAACCAGAAAAGUUUCUGUAGGAAAACAAAUCUAGCAGUGUACAUUAGAAAACAGCAUACUAGUUCCUUGACAAAAUGAUUGAACCUGAAAACAAUAGAAAAAAUCCAAUAAAUAUUCAACCUAAAUACUAUAUAUAUAUAUUACAAACAAUGUAAGUUCAAAACAAAAACAUAACACUGAUUAUAGGUACAAUAUCAAUCCCAGCUAAAGAAUUAUUGUAAAAACAUCUAAUGCUUCAAUUUAAAACCAGUGCGUAGUUUUAGAUAUAAAACCAAUAUAAACAUAAUACCUAGAAAAUCAUAUAUUAUCACUCAAAAUCAUCAAACCAAUUUUCUAUUCUAAAAACCCUAACCACAAAUUAUCUCAUUUUCAUUAUCAACACCAACAAAAUCAAAACCCUAACUUUCCCGUUCUUGAACCCAUUGCCUUACAUUCAAAAAAAUUCCGUUAUUGAACCCAUUAUCUUACAUUUAUCAAGAUUCAUACCUUUAAUCACAUUUUUCAACAGAAGAUUGAAACCCAUAAACUUAUCUCCAUUAAGAUUCCUAGAAACCUUCAUAUCUUUAGUUGACGAAGAACCUAGCUAGAAAGCAACAGAUGACACUUGAAUAACCUAAAAAAACAAAAAUGUGAUUCGUUAAAAUCAAACACGUAGAGACCAAUCUAAAGAAAAAGCAAGAAUGAAAAAUAAAGUUGCAAUUCGUAAAAUAGAAAUGAUUUUAGAAUGGAAGAAACCAUAAAUGCUUAAGGUGUUUGAGAAUCAAAAGUAGAAGAAGAAGAAGAAAGUUGAAGGUUGAGUUGAAGAAUGAGGAAUGAGAGAGGUGGUUCUGGUGAGAGAUAAUAGAGGUUGUGUGGUCUGUAUUUGCUGGGUUUCUACAGCAGAAAAGUGAGGUCUUGGGGGUAGCGAAAUACUGUACACGCCAAAAAGUGUUUGGAGUUUCAAAAAACUGUACUUUUCAGUUAACAUAUUGUUCUACAUAAACUACUAAGAUAACAUGUUUUUAAAAAUUGUACAAAAUGAAAGUAUAAUUGAGUUCAAACUAAUAGUACAUAUUGGUUGCAAAAAGUAAAUUUUGGACACAAAAUGCCCCUAAAUUGAUGAGGUGGAGGACAAAGACAAAAGGAUAAAUUAAUGUUUUCCAGAGCAUUUAAUUUUCUUAUAUUAUAGAUUAAAUGCCCGCUUCUACUAAUUAUUAUCAUAUAAUAUUUGUUCAUGUUCAGGGGAACAAAGUUGAGGAGCCUUAUGUUGUAUUAGAUUAAAUAGCAUUGACCACUCGAAUUAUCAACAACUAUGGCUAAUUCAAGAUCCAUUAUAAUAUUAUAAUGGCAAAAGCUUUUGCAUACUGUAUCUUGGUAUCAAUUAUUAAUAAUGAUAGUUUUAAGAUGAAGUCGCCAUAAUGAUUUUAGAGCAAGUACUAUUGAAUCACUAAAUUUAAGGAUUUGAAAUGGUUUUUUAUAGUGAUUGGUGACUGCAUCAACUGUCGGUGUUUUACCUUAUACGACAUUGUCUCAUUAUCAAAUCUAGCAACCAAUGCUAAAGAAACACACAAUUUUACUUGAUUUAUAUAUAAUAUAAAAUAAUUGAAAUAUUAAAAUUAAAGUUUUAACGGGUCAAUUACAUCCAAACACGAAAUAAUAUUCUAUGGAUACACACUGAUACUUAUAAGGUACGCAUAUAUGGUACUGAUAUUAACACAUUUAAUUAAAUAUUAAAUAAUAACAAGAAUAAGUUUAGAUACGAAAUAAUAUAUAUGGAUACACACGAGUA